This 460-nucleotide ribosomal RNA is filed under the name uncultured Syntrophus sp. RNAcentral describes it as "bacterial SSU rRNA". It matches the Rfam family "Bacterial small subunit ribosomal RNA", at positions 924 to 1382 of the family's 1533-position model. The record is from RNAcentral. Lineage: Bacteria; Pseudomonadati; Thermodesulfobacteriota; Syntrophia; Syntrophales; Syntrophaceae.
CACAAGCGGUGGAGCAUGUGGUUUAAUUCGAUGCAACGCGAAGAACCUUACCUGGGCUUGACAUCCCGGGAAUCCCUUGGAAACAAGGGAGUGCCCUUCGGGGAACCUGGAGACAGGUGCUGCAUGGCUGUCGUCAGCUCGUGUCGUGAGAUGUAGGGUUUAAGUCCCGCAACGAGCGCAACCCUUGUCUUUAAUUGCCAUCAUUGAGUUGGGCACUUUAAAGAGACUGCCGGUGUUAAACUGGAGGAAGGUGGGGAUGACGUCAAAUCAUCAUGCCCCUUAUGACCUGGGCUACACACGUGUUACAAUGGUCGGUACAGAGGGCAGCUACCUGGUGACAGGAUGCUAAUCUCGAAAACCGGUCUCAGUUCGGAUCGAAGUCUGCAACUCGACUUCGUGAAGCUGGAUUCGCUAGUAAUCGCGCAUCAGCUAUGGCGCGGUGAAUACGUUCCCGGGCCUU